This is a long non-coding RNA of Camelus dromedarius (Arabian camel), 3293 nucleotides long. RefSeq lists it as uncharacterized. The record is from RefSeq and is a predicted model, not a curated record. The transcript has 3 exons. Lineage: Eukaryota; Metazoa; Chordata; Mammalia; Artiodactyla; Camelidae.
UGGGCUUUUUGUUUUUGCUUUCAUCUUGUUUACUUGAUUCAUUAGUAGAGAAAGGUACAAAGUGGGAAAUAAAAGGAAAGCAAAGAAAACAGCAGGUGUGGGAUAUGCAAUCACCACCUCAGUCUUCCAGCAGAGGAAUUUGAAAACUGACAUUGAAAGUUUUGCUUCUGGAAAGCUUUUUCUUAUUGGUUUCCUGUACUGCCUAUCUAACGUUAAAAAUGGUCAACCUCUAGGAAAAGUAGGAGAAGGCUAUCAGGUGAACCAAGUCAAUUUGACAAAUCGCUGACUUUACUCUUACUCUCUUCCUCACCAGGGCUGGGAAUACACAUGCUGCAAACAAGAGAAAUCACUAGGUGUGUGGCUUCCUAAAGUUUAGUCCUAUGCAAUCCCUGCAUACUCUAAAAGAGAGAGAAAGGAAAGAAAAGUUCUGAAAUUGUUGAAGAAAUGAAACGGAUCAGGGCCUUGUGGGGCCCUCCCAGAUCUAUUUAAGACUAUGAUGGGCAAUGAACCUGGUUUCCCAGAUACGUACCAUGGACUCUGAAAGUUAUUUAAGAUAUCAAAGUGAUCGUCGCUUUCUGGCCUUAAAAACCCUCCUCAAUCCAAGUAGCCACUACGCGUUAUCAGAGUUGGCAUUAAAGAUGAAAUGGCUUGUACCUCCCUGUGCUGGAAGAUCUCUCAAGUCCAAAUCAACAGUAUGCCUUUACGUCUUUUUGCUUAAUAGGUAUGCAAUACAGUUCUAGGUUGUUGAACGUGAUAUACUUACUAGAAAUUCCUUUUUAACAUCAGUCUUUCCCUCAUUUCUUUUUUUUACUUCUUUUUGUCUCCUUUUUCAGUUUUAUUAGGUAAAAUUAUUACAGUUCGACUGCACAUAUACAUAUAUUGCAUGUAAAUACACAUCUACAAUAUGCCGCACAUUUUAAAAAAAUUUACAUAUAUGUACUAAUUAUUGUUUCUAAGUCGUUCCCUCAUUUCUAAACAUUUACCCAUAGAGAUUAAUUUUUAAAAUUUAAAUCAGUUCAUUAUACCAAGAAUUGCUAUUGGAAAAAUAUCAUAAAAGUCCCAGAGACCCAAGUUUCCCUGUGCCAGGGUCCAAUCAGGAGAGACAAACCACAGUGUAAUUUGAACAUGAGAAGUUUAAUAUAAUCAUUAAUUAUAGCAAGAUUGGAGUAAUGAGGGGUUGCCUAGUGAAAAAAUAAAGAAAAGCAGUAACAACAGAUAGAAGGAGCAGCCACUACCCCUCAGGCUGGGAGAGGGUGUCCAGAGAAGAGCCCGUCAAGCCCAUCCCAAAAGGGGGGCGGGGGCUUGCUGAGUGUCCCGCGGCAGAGAGCUAGUGCCUGUGGGAAAUGCAAAGAGCCCAUGGAGCGAUGCACCGGAGGUGAGCACAGGCUGGAGCCGGAAGGAGGGGCCCCUCAAAUGAUACCCCAGGUAGAGUUAAAGCCAUCGAGGAAUUUGAAGCAGGAUAGUAACAUCACACGAUUCACGUUUUAAAAUGAUCAUUCUGGCUGCGGUGUGAUGAAUAACCUGUCAAGAGGCAGGAAUGAAAGCAGUAUUAUCAGUUAGGGCGGUGUACCUACAUACUCUUGACCACCCCUCCCAUGGAGAGGUGGUGUCUCUGUCCCUUCCUUCGGAUUUGGGUAGGCCUGUGACAGCUUCAGGCAAAGGAGUACAGAACUGACACUAUGACUUUUGAGGCUGGGUCAUAAAAGACAUUCAGCUGUGUGCUCUUGGGACACAAACUGUGUGGGGAACCAACCCAGCUGCUGGGUAAGAAGUCUAGCUACCCUGUAACUGCCCUGCUGGAGAGGCUCCUACAGACACUCCAGUUGAUAGUCCCAGCUAAGCCCACUUUUCCAGCCCCAUUCCCCACCCCUAAGGCACUAGACACAUGAGUGAAGCCAUCAUGGACCCUCCAGCCCAGCCCAUGCCCCACUGAGUGCCCUUGAGUGACUUCACUCAGUCUCCUGAGGACCAGAAGGGUUCCUCAGCUCUGUGAGCGUUCCUCACCCUACUCAGACUCUGUCUCCAAAAGUCAUGUUGCCCCCGUAGCAGAUGGAUGCCCCUCACCUUGCUCAGCCUCUGACAAUCCACUUCGAGGCUCUUCCAGGUAUGGGCACCUUCCGUGACUCUGCCUUGCCUGAUAAUUUUUCGGAUGAAUUUUUUUUUCAGGAGAAAGUAAAGGAAGGGAAGAUGGUGAGCGAAAGUGGAGUCUUGUCUGCCCACUAUUAAUGCCUGAUUUAAGGCAAGUUAUUUAACCUCAUUAUUCCUUAGUUGCCUACCCCAGCACAGGGUGGGUAUUCAUUAUUAAUUUUUGUGGGAAAGAGGUGUCCUGUGGUCAGUAAGGAACUGUGUGUUUUGGGGCUAGAUACCUUCUCAUCUUUGAGUAUCUCUCCUUCAUUUCUGAAGUUCAGUCCAUUGGCCUUUAAUUGUUUCUUCCUUCAUAAUAUCUUUCAAAUGUGUCUAUUUAAAAUCAUAUAUUAAUAUUAUAUACUAGGCAUAAAAACUAUAAUUGAGUCCUUACAAGAAUUUGUAAUUACAUGCUAUUUUCACACCCAUUUCCUAAGUAGAAAAAGCUGAGGUUUAGAGAGGUUGGGGACCUUGUUCAAGGUCAUGGAGCUUGUAAGUGAUUGAGCUUUGAUUCAAAUCCAGUCCUUUUUAACUCUGAUGUCUGUAAUUUUCUUAGGAGCACAUGCUGUUUUCUUUUAAUUCUACUGCAGUGACCUUCUUUGUUUUCCUCAUGGACCACAGCAACAGCCUUCUAGUCUGUCUUCCUUUUCCCCAGUCUCUUUCUACUUCAAUCCAUACUGCAAUACAACUAACCCUCCUACCAGGUUAAUUUCUCGUAGACACAUACAUCCCCAGAAUUGAAGUCCUCAAAAGCUUUCGACUGAAUCUGGCAGGGGAAGGAACUGUGAGGGUCCAGUGGCUUCACAGAACUUUAUCUGUGGGGAAAUGUUUUCUGCACCCCUUAAAGUUUUCAAAGAAGAAAAGAUUAUAAAUUAUCAGAAGGAGAAACAGUUAAACCUUCCAAAGUACUUGAAUAUGAGCUCUCAGGUCAGGUGGAAUCUAGAGAGUCAUGGGAUGUGCAGAAAGGAUGAGCUAGUGGUCCGGAUAUUGCCAGCUGUCCCCUCUUUUCCCUCCUACACACCAAGGGGAGGCAGGUCCCUCACCACGCACAGGAGACCAAGUCUGGGAAACCUACCAACAAUCCACGAUGGAAACUGGAAAAGGAAACUGAUGUUUUGAUUAAGUGAAUAUUUGAAAUUAUUUCAUUCCAAAGAAAUAUCCCAAUUAAA